CAACAAGCUUGCUUGUUGGGGUUGUAGGACACUCUAUACGGAGUUACAAAGGACGACAUUAGACGAAUCAUCUGGAAAGAUGAAUCAAAGAAGGUAAUAAUCCUGUAGUCGAAAAUGUUGUCUCUCUUGAGUGGAUCCUGAGUACGACGGAGCACGUGAAAUUCCGUCGGAAUCUGGGAGGACCAUCUCCUAAGGCUAAAUACUCUCUAGUGACCGAUAGUGAACCAGUACCGUGAGGGAAAGGUGAAAAGCACCCCGGAAGGGGAGUGAAAUAGAACCUGAAACCGUGUGCUUACAAGUAGUCAGAGCCCGUUAAUGGGUGAUGGCGUGCCUUUUGUAGAAUGAACCGGCGAGUUACGAUUUGAUGCAAGGUUAAGCAGUAAAUGUGGAGCCGUAGCGAAAGCGAGUCUGAAUAGGGCGUUUAGUAUUUGGUCGUAGACCCGAAACCAGGUGAUCUACCCUUGGUCAGGUUGAAGUUCAGGUAACACUGAAUGGAGGACCGAACCGACUUACGUUGAAAAGUGAGCGGAUGAACUGAGGGUAGCGGAGAAAUUCCAAUCGAACCUGGAGAUAGCUGGUUCUCUCCGAAAUAGCUUUAGGGCUAGCCUCAAGUGAUGAUUAUUGGAGGUAGAGCACUGUUUGGACGAGGGGCCCCUCUCGGGUUACCGAAUUCAGACAAACUCCGAAUGCCAAUUAAUUUAACUUGGGAGUCAGAACAUGGGUGAUAAGGUCCGUGUUCGAAAGGGAAACAGCCCAGACCACCAGCUAAGGUCCCAAAAUAUAUGUUAAGUGGAAAAGGAUGUGGCGUUGCCCAGACAACUAGGAUGUUGGCUUAGAAGCAGCCAUCAUUUAAAGAGUGCGUAAUAGCUCACUAGUCGAGUGACACUGCGCCGAAAAUGUACCGGGGCUAAACAUAUUACCGAAGCUGUGGAUUGUCCUUUGGACAAUGGUAGGAGAGCGUUCUAAGGGCGUUGAAGCAUGAUCGUAAGGACAUGUGGAGCGCUUAGAAGUGAGAAUGCCGGUGUGAGUAGCGAAAGACGGGUGAGAAUCCCGUCCACCGAUUGACUAAGGUUUCCAGAGGAAGGCUCGUCCGCUCUGGGUUAGUCGGGUCCUAAGCUGAGGCCGACAGGCGUAGGCGAUGGAUAACAGGUUGAUAUUCCUGUACCACCUAUAAUCGUUUUAAUCGAUGGGGGGACGCAGUAGGAUAGGCGAAGCGUGCGAUUGGAUUGCACGUCUAAGCAGUAAGGCUGAGUAUUAGGCAAAUCCGGUACUCGUUAAGGCUGAGCUGUGAUGGGGAGAAGACAUUGUGUCUUCGAGUCGUUGAUUUCACACUGCCGAGAAAAGCCUCUAGAUAGAAAAUAGGUGCCCGUACCGCAAACCGACACAGGUAGUCAAGAUGAGAAUUCUAAGGUGAGCGAGCGAACUCUCGUUAAGGAACUCGGCAAAAUGACCCCGUAACUUCGGGAGAAGGGGUGCUCUUUAGGGUUAACGCCCAGAAGAGCCGCAGUGAAUAGGCCCAAGCGACUGUUUAUCAAAAACACAGGUCUCUGCUAAACCGUAAGGUGAUGUAUAGGGGCUGACGCCUGCCCGGUGCUGGAAGGUUAAGAGGAGUGGUUAGCUUCUGCGAAGCUACGAAUCGAAGCCCCAGUAAACGGCGGCCGUAACUAUAACGGUCCUAAGGUAGCGAAAUUCCUUGUCGGGUAAGUUCCGACCCGCACGAAAGGCGUAACGAUUUGGGCACUGUCUCAACGAGAGACUCGGUGAAAUCAUAGUACCUGUGAAGAUGCAGGUUACCCGCGACAGGACGGAAAGACCCCGUGGAGCUUUACUGUAGCCUGAUAUUGAAAUUCGGCACAGCUUGUACAGGAUAGGUAGGAGCCUUUGAAACGUGAGCGCUAGCUUACGUGGAGGCGCUGGUGGG
RNAcentral lists this ribosomal RNA (1921 nucleotides) under Staphylococcus aureus. RNAcentral describes it as "partial 23S ribosomal RNA". It matches the Rfam family "Bacterial large subunit ribosomal RNA", at positions 275 to 2196 of the family's 2925-position model. Lineage: Bacteria; Bacillati; Bacillota; Bacilli; Caryophanales; Staphylococcaceae. The record is from RNAcentral.